Molecule: long non-coding RNA, 2395 nt
Filed under: Sus scrofa (pig)
Lineage: Eukaryota; Metazoa; Chordata; Mammalia; Artiodactyla; Suidae
Description: lncRNA (ENSSSCG00055013501.1)
Source: RNAcentral
AGUGCUUCAGGCUCUGCUCCAAGAACCUGGGAGGAGCCUCCUCAACUCUGUCUAUGAUGUUGGGUCAGCGUGUUCGCCAAUUUGGUGAGAAACUGGUCCGAAGGCGGCCACUGGAGCCGAGGAACGAGUCUGAGAUUCCCACACCUCAUCUCAACAGCUUCGACCUAGUGGUCUUUGGUGUGAACAGAACCCUGAGGGCUGGUGUGUACAUCCUAGCUGGUGCCGUGGCUGUGUAUGUAACUGGGCCUGCGAUCAUUAUCUCCUUCUUGGUGGCUGGCUUAUUUGCCCUGUUGUCUGGAUUCUACUUUGCUGAGUUUGGGGCCCGGGUACCCUGCUGUGGUUCUGUGUAUCUCUACAGCUAUGUAACAAUGGGACAACUGCAUGCCUUCAUCACUGGCUGGAACAUCAUACUGCAUUUUGUUCUUGCCACCGCCUACUUGACCAGGGCCUGGAGCUACACCUUUGACAGCCUGAUUGGGAACCACAUCUCGCAGGUGUUAGAGGGAACGUUCUCUGAGCAUAUGCCCUCGUUCCUGGCCCCAUACCCAGACUUUGUUGCGCUGGCCCUGGUGCUGCUGAUGGCUGGGCUACUGAUUCUGGGCGUUCAUGUGACAGCUCGUGUUACCAAAGUGUCCACAGGUAUCAAUGCUUUGGUUCUCAGCUUCAUCAUCAUCUCUGGCUUCAUUAAGGGAGACCUGCACAACUGGCAGCUCACAGAACAGGACUACAAACUGGCCGCAUCUGGAUCCUCUGACAGCUAUAGCCUGGGCCCUCUGGGUUCUGGAGGGUUUGUGCCCUUUGGCUUUGAAGGGAUUCUCCAAGGAGCAGCAAUGCCUUUCUACUCAUUCUUUGGUCUCAAUGCUAUUGUCACUACAGGGAAAGAAACCCCCAACCCUCAGCGUUCCAUCCCUUGGAGCAUAGGGAUCUUCAUCUCCAUCUGCUUUUUGGCCUAUUCUGGUGUCUCAGCAGCUCUCACCCUCAUGGUGCCCUACUACCAGAUUCAUCCUUACAACCCCUUGCCGCAGGCUUUCCACCAUGUUGGGUGGGCUCCUGCCGGAUACUUCGUGGCUGUUGUCAUCCUGUGUGCUCUUUUUUACAGCCUCCUGGUUGUCAUGUUGACCAUGUCUCGGUUGAUUUGUGCAAUGGCAGAGGAUGGGCUCCUUUUCCGGGGACUUGGCAAAAUCUACGCCCGAAGAGGCACCCCCAUCGUGGCCAUCCUGGUUUCUGCAAUUCUUUCAGGGAUCAUGGCAGUACUUUUCGAGAUCCAUCAUCUUGUGGAACUCCUGUCAGUUGGGGUCUUGCUUGCUUACUUCCUAGUGGCUUUUUCUGUCCUGGUCCUCAGGUACCAGCCAGACCAGAGCUUCAGCAAGAAGGAGAAAGUAGAGGAGGAAACUGAGAUGGAGCCUAUAGUUGAAGGAAAUCCUUCACCAUCUGUACCUGAAGCAGGAACCUCAAACCCUCUAAAGAGUCUGUGUAACCCUAUCAGCACCACCCCGACUCUGAAAUCUGGCCAGAUUGUCUAUGGAUGUGCCUUCCUGCUGGUUCUCCUGCUGACCAUCCUGAGCCUGCUUCUGGCCCUGUGGCCCAGCCGCGUGUUUUCUGGAGACCCCGGGUUCACAGCAGGGGCUGUGCUGCUGCUGCUGCUCAUUAUGUGGAUCACUGUCAUCAUUUGGAGGCAGCCCCAGAACCCCUCUCCUCUUCACUUUAGGAUGACUACUGGGACUUGGGCCCAAUUUGGCAUCUGGAAUGCUGUUGGAUUUGCCAUAUACUUUGGAUAUGGGAUCCGACACAGCUUGGAGGAGAAGAGUGAUCAAAACCCACCAGCUUCCAACUUCCAUACUUUUGAUGAACACACCUCUAGUGCUAAAUCCUGUUAACUCCAGCAAAUAGAUGCUGUGUGGUCCUCUCCAAAAGGGGAAAUGUAUUCUGGUUCAAGGGACUUUUUGAGCCUCUAUGGAGUGUGACAUUGGGAUGCAUGUAGAGCCUUCUAUUUAUUGCCACUGGACAGGAUGACUUUUAUGUAUAAUUUAAAGUAAACUUUUAAAAGUAUAACAUGCCUACAGAAAUGUGUAUGCUUCAUAAGUGUGCUCGCAAGAUGAAUUUUCACAAUUAAGUACUACAAUGUAACCAACAACAGAGGAAGAAAUGAACUGUUACCUUGCACAUAAGAAGCACUUCUUGGAGUCCCCGUCGUGGCUCAGCCAAAAUGACUCUGACUAGUAUCCAUGAGGACGCAGGUUCGAUCCCUGGUCUCACUCACUGGGUUAAGGAUUGGCUUUGGCUGUGGUGUAGGCUGGCAGCUGCGGCUCUGAUUUAACCUACAGUGUGGGAACUUCCACAUGCCAUGGGUGAGGCGCUAAAAAGCAAAGCAAAAAAAAAAAAAAAAAAAAAAAAA